CGCCGACAGGGGGGGACAAACGGGUCUGUUGUCCCGGGCCCAGGGUUGGGGGGGGGCAUCCAGCACCCCACUCACGGCUCCUGACGCAGCAUGCAGGCACCGCGCCGCUCCAUACUGCUCCGCGCCUCCCCAUCGCCCGGUCCUACACUGCACGAAGGGUCAACACUGGUUCACAUCGACAGUGGCGUCAUGAAAGUCUUCUUCACCAGGUUCACCCACCUCGCUGGAGAACCUCAGAGAGUCGAAGCCCCGAAGCUGUCCGGCUCUGGAGCGACGUUCACAAACAUCAGGCUGGAAAGAUUCAAACACCAGGUUCAGAGAUGCCCAUUUCCUUACAGGAGCAGGAGGUUGAUGUCCACUGCACUGAUUAUCAAAGUGUGGCACAGCAGCUCCCUCUAGUGGAACAAGAAGGAAAGAACAAGAGAAACUCAACAGUUCUCUGUCAUGGAGAGUGAAAGCUGUGGAGGUUGUUAUUUACUGUGUUUCGAGGAGAUAAGAGAUGCUGCACUGGCUGAUGAUGUGUUCCAAUCAUGAUGGUGGGGUUUCCAUCACUCACCAUUUUCUCAGAGACUUUAAAAGGCUUGAAAAACAUUUAAACAAGUGGAAUAUGGUGUAGAACUCUCCUCCGUUACAUUAGUUUAGCUGGUUUAGCCAGCAGUGGAAUGAUCGUCCUCCUGGAUUCAGAUUAUCAAGCAGCAGGAAGCUGAUCAUGAUCAACUCACGUCAUGCCGUUUCCUCCCAAGCAUCCCUGCAGGAGGUGGGUCAGCUUGGACUUCCUGUAGGGAAUGUGGCUCUCCUGGAAGAGAAGCAACAGUGAAGCUCAACCAGCGACCUUCUCUGAACGAUGUCUGCUUCACUUUAGAAGAGCAGCACGGACCUUGAUGGCCAGCGCAGAGAUGACGAUGCUCAGGUUGGACAGGGAGCCGUUGAUGGCCGUCAGCUCCUUGAAGCGUUCGCCCUGCGACCGGCUCUUCACCAGAGAUGGGAAAUAACGACGUACAAGUAACGAAGUACCUUUUUUUGGUAUCUGUACUUUACUGAGUAUUUAUUUUUCUGAGUACUUUUUACUUGUAUCCGCUACAUUUUAACACAAGUAUUUGUACUUUUUACUCCGUACAUUUUCAAAACAGGCUCGUUACUUUUAAUGCACGACAACGAUUAAAAAAAGAAUUAAAAUGUCUCCACAGGCUCCGCCAAUUGUAUGAAACAUUACUCACGGUUCCAUACAUCCCAACUUGUGAUUGGCUCGCUGUCCAUGAUCGUUCUUUUCAUUGGCUACAGUAGGGGUGUCCUCAGAUAGUCGACGAUUCGUUCGAAGGGGCCUGAUUCGACUGCCAGUCACGCAGUCGAAGCAUCGAAAAAAUGUGGUUAUUAAACGAGGACCAUUCCAUCACAGCUGUAUGGGGGUGCUGAAUGACUGAUUCUACAUAGAAUUGCUUGGUUUUUUUCCCCAAAUAAACAGGAUAUAAAGCCUAUUUGAUAUACAUGUUAGCCUAUCAAAUAUACUGUGGAAAAAUUUACUUAACUUGUAGUUUUAUUCAAUAUUCUCUCUAUUUAGUGUCUGUGAAUCAACCACCAUGGUGAGUGGCACAAUCCCAUUUAGCGCAGAGCUCCGUCACAGAGCAGCAUCUCGGUGGUGAUUUGGCUGAACUUUAAAAGUCUUACAAUGUCGGAAAAAAACAGAACUUCAGACCAAGUCAAAGAUGAUCCAAAAAAAGUCAAAUGCAGAUUGUGUCCUUUCAUAUCACUUCACAACAACAUGGCUUUCCACCUUAAACGGGUAAGUAGCCAGAUAAUUGGGCUAUUAAGACGGUUCUGUUACUCAAUUCUCAUUUUUAAUGCUGACUUUUAUUUCGUUUAAUUGUAAUAUUUUAGGUUAUUAUUAUAUUAUUUUUAUUUAUCUAAAAGGCUAAUUCUAUUUAAUUUAGUGUUUGUUUUUGCAUGGAUGUUGCGCUGCGAAACGGACUGACACAGUGCAAUUAAGCCUGUUUCAUUUAAUUUGAGCAGAUAAUGUGAG
Molecule: long non-coding RNA, 2017 nt
Filed under: Salarias fasciatus (jewelled blenny)
Lineage: Eukaryota; Metazoa; Chordata; Actinopteri; Blenniiformes; Blenniidae
Description: lncRNA (ENSSFAG00005000410.1)
Source: RNAcentral